GCGCACCAGGCGCGAAACUUUACAAUGUGCGAAAGCACGAUAAGGGAACUCUGAGUGCCUCCUAAGGAGGCUGUUCAGGUGUCUAAAAGCACCUGAAGGAAGGGCUGGGUAAGACCGGUGCCAGCCGCCGCGGUAACACCGGCAGCCCAAGUGGUAGCCACGUUUAUUGGGUCUAAAGCGUCCGUAGCCGGCUGGGUAAGUUCCUUGGGAAAUUUGGCUGCUUAACAGUCAAGCUUUCAGGGAAUACUGCCCGGCUUGGGACCGGGAGAGGUCAGAGGUACUCCAGGGGUAGGGUGAAAUCCAUUAAUCCUUGGGGGACCACCGGUAGCGAAGGCGUCUGACCAGACCGGGUCCGACGGUGAGGGACGAAGGCUAGGGGCGCGAACCGGAUUAGAUACCCGCGUAGU
RNAcentral lists this ribosomal RNA (407 nucleotides) under uncultured microorganism. RNAcentral describes it as "bacterial SSU rRNA". It matches the Rfam family "Archaeal small subunit ribosomal RNA", at positions 330 to 745 of the family's 1478-position model. The record is from RNAcentral.